AUCCCAGGAAAGGCUCAGGGAUUUGGGAUGGAUCCCAGGAAAGGCUCAGGGGUUUGGGAUGGAUCCCAGGAAAGGCUCAGAGAUUUGGGAUGGAUCCCAGGAAAGGUUCUUCCCCUGAGGGUGGUGGGCACUGCCCGGGCUCCCCAGGCUGCUGGGCACAUCCCCAACCUGCCAGAGCUCCAGGAGCCUUUGGAAAACCCUCUGGGGCUGCUGUGGAUCUUUGGAUCGUGCUGGAUUGCUGAACAGAACUGGAAUCAACAAAAAGCCACAAACAAGCCCAGAACUGCACCAGACAGGAGGCCUCCCCCAGUGACUCAGCCCCAGGAGGUGAAAUCACCCAGGAAUUCAUCCAGAGGGAAACCGAGCUGCCCAAAACCACAUCUCAUCUUUGGGAGGAUGAAACGAGCCAGGGUGAGCCUCGUUUUUGGGAGAAAUCCUCGUUAUCUUCAGCUGGGAGUCUGGAUUUGUGUCUGGAGACCAGCCAGGAUGGGAAUAUUUGGAAUAUUCCGUGUGGAAUGAGCUUUUCCUGGAGAUUGCUGCACUCAGGAGCCCCAGGGAAGAGCAGCCCGUGGGAGGAGAGAUUCCAGCACUGAGGAGGUGGCAAAAUGUGAUUUUCACUUGUAAAAGUCAGAUUGAAGUUGGAAAAGAUUUUUUUUUUUAAAUUCCACACAGGGCUGAAUUUAAAUUCCAAGUUUUUGGGUUUUUUUGUUUGGAUUUUUUUUUUUUUAAAUUCCACACAGGAACAAAUUCCUUCCCCAAAUCCCACCCAUCCCUGCCCUCCCUGUGUCCCGUCCCUCCAUCCCUUAUCCCAAAUCCCUCUCCAGCUCUCCUGGAGCCCCUUCAGGCCCUGCAAAACCCCAAUUUGGUCACCCCAAAGCUCCCACGUGAUUUUUGAUGCCAUAAAUUGAAUAUUUGAGCUACAAAAUUGCAACCCAAAACAGAUUUUCUAUAGAAAUUAAACAAAAAAAGCAGAGGGUGAGCAGAAAAAAAAGAAAUUGGUAUUGAUCCUGAAAGGAUUUUGGUUUUUGGGAGAAAAUAAAAUCACAGCAAAAAAUCUGCUUCAUACAAAUUUACAGCACAAAUGUAGCCCUAAUUUAAAAUUAAUUUCAAUUAAUAUGCAUUUCCUGAAAGAAUUCACAGCAUGACUACAGCAAUGCUUGUUAGAGGAUCAGACUUGUAUAUAUUCCUAUUUCCAGUUCAUUAAUUAUGUUAAUGAUUGGUCUAAACCCACUCAAAUUAGACAUCUCACUGUAAAUAGUUGGGUUUUAAAUAUUAAAUAAUAUUAGCUAUUAAUAAUAUCAAUAUUACCAAUAAAAAAUGGGUUAUUGGGGUUUUUGGCAUUUUUCCAUUUAAGUGGCUUUGGGUUGUUUUUUUUUAUAAUUCAAUUUCCAGUCAUGGUAUUAAUUGGAUUAUAAAAAUAGAUGUAAAAAUAAUGUGAGAUUGUGUGAGAUGAGCAGGGUCCUGUUCAGCUCGAUAGAAACCCAAAGAAAGGAAAUUUUUCCAUGGUUCUUUCCUAAAGCUGAGGGAAACUGGGAAAGAAUCCUCCAGGAGUUAUUUUAGUAAAAACACUUGGAAUUUUGCAGUGUCAGAAUUUCCUCUGGAUGCUUUUCUUCAAGGGAACAACAUCCAAACAACGAAUUUCCCUCAUAUUUUCCACAUGAAGCCAAAUCCUAAAUAAAAUCUAGACAGGAGGAAGGGUUGGCUGAAGGAUUAGUCUCAUUUUAAUAGAAUAUCCACAGAUUUUAUGGAAUAAUACAAAGCAAAACUCAGGGUACAGAUGAAGAGUCCGCUAGCACAAACCACCUAAUUACAACCACUGCAGAAAAUGACAUUUCACACCUUUGUACAGGUGGGGUCGGGCUGGAAAGGAACAAAAAAAGAACAAAAAAAGAACAAAAAAAGAACAAAAAAACCACAAAAAAAGAACAAAAACACCCCUGGGAUUGUGGUUUAUUGUCGUGGUGAGUUCUGAACUCCACUUUGCCAAAACCUGCUGCGUUUCUGGCUGCCAGGAAGGAAGGAAAGAAGGAAAUAGAAAAGAGAAAAAUGUGCUUUUUGUGGUUUUUUUGUCCCUUUCUCCUGCUCCAGGCCCAUCCCAGCUCGUCACCACCAGCCUUUCCUUGACGCCUGGGUUUUUGAAAUCCUCUAAAAAAGAGGAUUUGUUGCCUUUAAAACCUUUUCUGCACCUCUGUGGGGAAUAAAGAUGGAAAAAUUACCGUGAGGGAAGCUCUAAAUAUCCACUGACAUUUACACAGCACUGGACAGAGAGAAUUGGGGUGAAUUCCUGCCCCGGAAUCCUCAGCAGGAUCCCAGCUUUGGUUCCUGUGCCUUCCUUGGGAACCACAACAAAAAUUCAUGGCCCAAAUCUGGGUGGAAAAACCAGAAAAGCUGGAGUUUCUGGAGCUGGGGAUAAAUCCCCCAAGAGAGGGGAAGGGAAUUCCUGCUCUGCACAGGAAGAAAUUGGAUUUUUUAGCUGAUGUGAAUUGAGGUCCUGCAAUUAAACACACAACGGGUAAAAACACCAGGAUUUGGGUGAAUAUGGGCACAAAAGAACAUUUUCUGCAGCUAAAAUGUGACUUCCCAUGGAUUCACCGGGAAGAAAAACUCUCAGGAAAAAUCAAAUCCGACCAGAAAGUGCUCAGUACAAUCCAGGGAAGUGAGAAAUGAAGACCUUGGUGCUGCAGGGAUGGUUUUGUGGGGCAGCAACGGCGCCUGCUGCACGUCUGGGGCGCUGAGCAGUCCAGCAGUAUUGCUAAAGGGAUGAAGUUCAUUUCAUUUUCUUCUUUAAACAUAUUUAUAUAUUUAUAUACUGCUCACAGUUCUUCUGGAAAUGCACUUCUACCAGCAGCAGUGCAGAUUUCUCCCCAUCCAGCUGGGAUUUGUCACUCCACCUUUGGGACAGGGACAUUUUUUUGGUGUUUUUUCCAAGAAUUUGUAGCUUUUUGUUUUGCAACCAACACCUAAAAUCACUUGUUGAAAUAAGUUAAUGAUAAUUAAUUUUUUUUUUCUGCUAUAAAUUGCACUUUUGACAUUUCUAAUUUCUCCUUGAUGGGGCUGCAGGUUCUUCUCUGUGUUAAAAGACAUAAAAACUUUAUCCACGUAUCCAUCCAUCCAUCCGUGAAGAUAAACUUUACAUGCUUAAAAAACUGUGAAAAAUUAAAACCUAGUGCACACCCCUUGGGGUGCUCCAUCACAAAGUGCAUUUUUUGAAACAAAACAAAACCAAAAACUGCUUCCAAGAUGUUAAAAAUUGAUUUUUUUUUUUUUUAUGGAAACAUCUGCCCACCUCCACCUCGUGAAGGGAAAUUUGGGAUCUGUCCUUUUCCCAGCUGAAAUGCCCUCACUCUGAAGGAAUUACUUGGAAAAAGGUGAAGUUUCAUUGUCAGAUCUGCUCAUUCUGUAUUUUUUAUUUUUUCCUGGAGGUGCAGACAGAGUGGUUUUGGGAAGGAAUGAAACAACCAAAAAAACAAAUUCCAUUCUGGUGUGGAUCCAGAGCCCCCUCAUGAAAGGAGCUUGGGAUUCCUUAUCUCCCACAUCCAUAUUUUCCAUCACAGCAGCAUUUUUGAACGAUUUUUGAUGCACAAAAGUUGGGUUUUGACCCCAUAAUUCAACAUUUUAUCCACUUGAUUGUUGUACAAUUGCAAACUUCCCCUGCAGUGCCAGCCUGGGUCACUGAUGGUGGAAAAGCUGAUGGUUUUCCCUCUAAAUCCAUAAAAACAAAGGGAAAAAAGAAAAUCAACUUGAGUUGAACUUGAGGAGCUUUGUGAUUGUUCAUGGCCAGAAAUAAUUGGUUUAACCAGCAAAGUCCUUCCCUCACCCCUGGGACAGAGCCAGUGGCAGGGAUCCCAGCUCUGCUGAGGGAAUUUGGGAAUUCCUGGCUGCUCUUUCUGCCUCCAGGCAGAGCUGGGAGCUCAGGACAGCACGGAGGUGUCACCUGCAAUGAACCUGAGCUCCACAAACACCUGAGGGCUCCUCUGGCCUCCAAGCACAGAAUUCCUUGUGAAAUCCCAGACUGGGUUGGGUUGGAAAGGACCUUAAAUCCCACCCAGGCUGCUCCAAGCCCCUUCCAACUUGGAAUGUUUUAUCAAUAAUUUGUUUAUAAUGAGCUUGGUUGGUGCUUUUUAUUUAUUUGUUUUUAGGUGGAAUGUGGGAUUUAUUUUUUUUUUUCCAUCUUCAGCCUCUGGGUUGGUGCUGUGGGUGCAGUGCCCUGCUUUCCAUCCGUGGCUGGAGUGUGUGAGGAGAACAUCCCAAAUGAGAAUUUAGAUUAAAAAGCACUUCUGGUGCUUCCUUGGAGCCCCCAGGGGAAGGAGGAUCUCAUCCAGAUGGUUUUGUUCACUGAAAGGAGGAGAAAAGCAGCUUUGUGUGUCCAGAGGAGCCAUCCCCACCUUCAGGAAAAACCCUGCUUUGCCAGAAUUCUCCUUGAAGUGAAGAAAUGGGCAGGGAAUUCUUCAUCUGAAGAAUGAAAGGGGUGAUGAAGUGAAGAAAUGGGCAGGGAAUUCUCCAUCUGCAGGUGUUUGAGAGGGGUUUUACCUGAUCAUGGAAUCAGGGAACCCUGGAAUGAUUUGGAGGGAGCUGAAAUCCCCCCCAGGGCCACCCUGCCAUGGCAGGGACACCUCCCGCUGUCCCAGCUGUCCUUGGGCACUUCCAGGGGUCCAUCCCAAGGCCAUGCCAGCUGUCUCUGCCUCUGAAAUCAGGAAUUUCCAAAGAAUUUCGGCCAGAAUUUGUUCCUUCAUUUCUUUUCCCCCUCCUUUGCUCCUCACCAGCCCAAAUCCUGAAUUCCAAGGGUCAAAGUCCCACCUGAGCCCCAGCAGCCAUCCCUGUGUCCUGCACUCUCCGUGGGGGCAUUCCGGGCUGGAAUGCUGCUGGGAUGAGCAUUUCCCUGCUGAGGGAACCUCCCAAAAUUUCAGCAGCUCCUGGGAGGCGUCGAUUGUCCAGUGGCGCCGCGUUGAGACGGAGACAAGGCCUGGGGAACUUCCCUGUGCUGGAAAUCUCCUUCGAAACCCCGACCCUCUGGGGUGUGUGCCCUCGGGAGAAGGUCCUGUGGGAUCCCUUCAGAGAGCCUCACGCGCCUGGAUGGGAUAAACCAGGAAAAAAACGUGGAAAACCAUGGAAAAACCGUGGGAUUUCCUGCUGGGAAUGAGUUCCAGAGUGAGGGUGGAAGCUGGCAGUGCUGCCCAGGCUGUGGGCACCUGGAAUCUUCAGGAGGAGACUCACACUGGCUGGAAAACGGAGGGAAAAGCUCUUCCCAUUGCCUGUGGUCGUUAUUCCCAGGGGUGGCAGCUUUUGGGGUGUCCUGGAGGAACUGGGGGUGCAGCUCAAAGCAAGAGGGCUCCGCGCUGGCCAGCAGCGAGUGAAGGGUUUGUACUUGAAACCAAAAAUAAAUUCUCUUUCUGGGCUGGAGAUUCAUGGACGGGAGGAUGCUCUUGACUUACUCCAAAGAUACACAGAAAGUGAUUCCCAAAAGGUUAAAAGACUUUGCAUCCUGGAGGCAGAGGAGGCAGGCUCCAGGGUUUACAGGACUUGGAAGAAGGUGGUGGCAAGCUCUUGUCCCCAGAGGUCGCUGAGGUGGGU
Molecule: long non-coding RNA, 5571 nt
Organism: Pyrgilauda ruficollis (rufous-necked snowfinch)
Lineage: Eukaryota; Metazoa; Chordata; Aves; Passeriformes; Passeridae
Exons: 3
Source: RefSeq, a predicted model, not a curated record